UGGGGAAUAUUGCACAAUGGGCGCAAGCCUGAUGCAGCCAUGCCGCGUGUAUGAAGAAGGCCUUCGGGUUGUAAAGUACUUUCAGUCGGGAGGAAGGUGGUAAGGUUAAUAACCUUAUCAAUUGACGUUACCGACAGAAGAAGCACCGGCUAACUCCGUGCCAGCAGCCGCGGUAAUACGGAGGGUGCAAGCGUCGUCCGGAUUUAUUGGGCGUAAAGCGAGCGCAGGCGGUUUCUUAAGUCUGAUGUGAAAGCCCCCGGCUCAACCGGGGAGGGUCAUUGGAAACUGGGAGACUUGAGUGCAGAAGAGGAGAGUGGAAUUCCAUGUGUAGCGAUGAAAUGCGUAGAUAUAUGGAGGAACACCAGUGGCGAAGGCGGCUCUCUGGUCUGUAACUGACGCUGAGGCUCGAAAGCGUGGGGAGCAAACAGG
RNAcentral lists this ribosomal RNA (429 nucleotides) under Chloroflexota bacterium. RNAcentral's name for it is "Chloroflexi bacterium partial 16S ribosomal RNA". It matches the Rfam family "Bacterial small subunit ribosomal RNA", at positions 355 to 776 of the family's 1533-position model. Lineage: Bacteria; Bacillati; Chloroflexota. The record is from RNAcentral.